CCACAAGCAUAUGCUAGCUCAGAUUUCAAAAGGUGUCUCUCUCCAAGUCAAACCACAAGCAUAUGCUAGCUCAGAUUUCAAAAGGUGUCUCUCUCCAAGUCAAACCACAAGCAUAUGCUAGCUCAGAUUUCAAAAGGUGUCUCUCUCCAAGUCAAACCACAAGCAUAUGCUAGCUCAGAUUUCAAAAGGUGUCUCUCUCCAAGUCAAACCACAAGCAUAUGCUAGCUCAGAUUUCAAAAGGUGUCUCUCUCCAAGUCAAACCACAAGCAUAUGCUAGCUCAGAUUUCAAAAGGUGUCUCUCUCCAAGUCAAACCACAAGCAUAUGCUAGCUCAGAUUUCAAAAGGUGUCUCUCUCCAAGUCAAACCACAAGCAUAUGCUAGCUCAGAUUUCAAAAGGUGUCUCUCUCCAAGUCAAACCACAAGCAUAUGCUAGCUCAGAUUUCAAAAGGUGUCUCUCUCCAAGUCAAACCACAAGCAUAUGCUAGCUCAGAUUUCAAAAGGUGUCUCUCUCCAAGUCAAACCACAAGCAUAUGCUAGCUCAGAUUUCAAAAGGUGUCUCUCUCCAAGUCAAACCACAAGCAUAUGCUAGCUCAGAUUUCAAAAGGUGUCUCUCUCCAAGUCAAACCACAAGCAUAUGCUAGCUCAGAUUUCAAAAGGUGUCUCUCUCCAAGUCAAACCACAAGCAUAUGCUAGCUCAGAUUUCAAAAGGUGUCUCUCUCCAAGUCAAACCACAAGCAUAUGCUAGCUCAGAUUUCAAAAGGUGUCUCUCUCCAAGUCAAACCACAAGCAUAUGCUAGCUCAGAUUUCAAAAGGUGUCUCUCUCCAAGUCAAACCACAAGCAUAUGCUAGCUCAGAUUUCAAAAGGUGUCUCUCUCCAAGUCAAACCACAAGCAUAUGCUAGCUCAGAUUUCAAAAGGUGUCUCUCUCCAAGUCAAACCACAAGCAUAUGCUAGCUCAGAUUUCAAAAGGUGUCUCUCUCCAAGUCAAACCACAAGCAUAUGCUAGCUCAGAUUUCAAAAGGUGUCUCUCUCCAAGUCAAACCACAAGCAUAUGCUAGCUCAGAUUUCAAAAGGUGUCUCUCUCCAAGUCAAACCACAAGCAUAUGCUAGCUCAGAUUUCAAAAGGUGUCUCUCUCCAAGUCAAACCACAAGCAUAUGCUAGCUCAGAUUUCAAAAGGUGUUUCUCUCCAAGUCAAACCACAAGCAUAUGCUAGCUCAGAUUUCAAAAGGUGUCUCUCUCCAAGUCAAACCACAAGCAUAUGCUAGCUCAGAUUUCAAAAGGUGUUUGCAGAAUAAUCAUUUCCAUGGACAGGUGACACCAAGAUCCCCUUGUUAUCAGCUGUGAGGCUUAGUUCAGAGGAUGUUCAUUGCUGUUCCAUAGAAAUCACUUCCACUCUGUGCGGACAGGAUCUUUUUGUCCUCGCUUAAUGACUGCACUAAAAGUUUUGACCCAAGGAAGAGUAGCCGCUAAAUUGGGGAUCCUAAUAAAUACUACAUCUAUAGAAUGAGGAACUAAACUGAUGGUCUCAGAACAGUUAAACCUACACCUUCUGUUUCCGUUGGAUUAUGGAUUGGCCUUUCAACAUGACAAACUUGAAAAAGCUGCUAAUUCUUGACUAAAAGGACACUGACUGUCCCCAAAUUCCCACCACAACGUCAAGCCACCACAACAUCAAGUAGGAGACGUUUUAUUAUGAGAACAGCAAACCAAUGAUUAAUCUGCUAAUGAAGCAGGCCUAAUAGAGAGAGCCUAGAUUAGUACCAAAAACAACAUAGCAUGGAACUGGCUGAUACUAUGAAACACCAGCAGAUAAAUGAGGCUCCGUUAGAAUUCUAGAAUGACAUAAUUCAGUCACUACUUCUAUGGGCUUACAUUGGCCUACU
Oncorhynchus keta (chum salmon) is the source of this 1883-nucleotide long non-coding RNA. RefSeq lists it as uncharacterized. The transcript has 4 exons. Lineage: Eukaryota; Metazoa; Chordata; Actinopteri; Salmoniformes; Salmonidae. The record is from RefSeq and is a predicted model, not a curated record.